AGUUGUAUCCUGGCUCAGAACGAACGCUGGCGGCAGGCCUAAUACAUGCAAGUCGAGCGCGCCCUUCGGGGUGAGCGGCGGACGGGUGAGUAACGCGUGGGAAUAUGCCCUUCUCUAAGGAAUAGCCUCUGGAAACGGAGAGUAAUACCUUAUACGCCCUUCGGGGGAAAGAUUUAUCGGAGAAGGAUUAGCCCGCGUUAGAUUAGGUAGUUGGUGGGGUAAUGGCCUACCAAGCCUACGAUCUAUAGCUGGUUUGAGAGGAUGAUCAGCCACACUGGGACUGAGACACGGCCCAGACUCCUACGGGAGGCAGCAGUAGGGAAUCUUAGACAAUGGGGGCAACCCUGAUCUAGCCAUGCCGCGUGUGUGAUGAAGGCCUUAGGGUCGUAAAGCACUUUCGCCAGAGAUGAUAAUGACAGUAUCUGGUAAAGAAACCCCGGCUAACUCCGUGCCAGCAGCCGCGGUAAUACGGAGGGGGUUAGCGUUGUUCGGAAUUACUGGGCGUAAAGCGCACGUAGGCGGAUUAGUAAGUUAGAGGUGAAAUCCCAGGGCUCAACCCUGGAACUGCCUUUAAUACUGCUAGUCUUGAGUUCGAGAGAGGUAAGUGGAAUUCCGAGUGUANA
This 623-nucleotide ribosomal RNA is filed under the name uncultured bacterium. RNAcentral's name for it is "bacterial SSU rRNA". It matches the Rfam family "Bacterial small subunit ribosomal RNA", at positions 10 to 679 of the family's 1533-position model. The record is from RNAcentral.